Molecule: ribosomal RNA, 568 nt
Filed under: Enterococcus gilvus
Lineage: Bacteria; Bacillati; Bacillota; Bacilli; Lactobacillales; Enterococcaceae
Description: bacterial SSU rRNA
Rfam family: Bacterial small subunit ribosomal RNA
Source: RNAcentral
CUUGCUCCACCGAAAGAAAAGGAGUGGCGAACGGGUGAGUAACACGUGGGUAACCUGCCCAUCAGAAGGGGAUAACACUUGGAAACAGGUGCUAAUACCGUAUAACAAUCGAAACCGCAUGGUUUCGGUUUGAAAGGCGCUUUUGCGUCACUGAUGGAUGGACCCGCGGUGCAUUAGCUAGUUGGUGAGGUAACGGCUCACCAAGGCAACGAUGCAUAGCCGACCUGAGAGGGUGAUCGGCCACAUUGGGACUGAGACACGGCCCAAACUCCUACGGGAGGCAGCAGUAGGGAAUCUUCGGCAAUGGACGCAGUCUGACCGAGCAACGCCGCGUGAGUGAAGAAGGUUUUCGGAUCGUAAAACUCUGUUGUUAGAGAAGAACAAGGAUGAGAGUAGAACGUUCAUCCCUUGACGGUAUCUAACCGAAAGCCACGGCUAACUACGUGCCAGCAGCCGCGGUAAUACUAGGUGGCAAGCGUUGUCCGGAUUUAUUGGGCGUAAAGCGAGCGCAGGCGGUUUCUUAAGUCUGAUGUGAAAGCCCCCGGCUCACCGGGGAGGGUCAUUGGAA